UAUUUUUAUUUAUGGGUUUCGGCCCGUAGCCUUGUGUUCGCCCUAUAUCAUGUUCGCCUUGGGUACUGUUAACCCUUCGAUUCAGUGAAAGUAAUGAACGGAGAAAAAAACACUUUUUUUUUUAAAUUGUAUAAUGUAUUAUUCAUAACAGUAACACAAUUGUAUUGGUUGUGUCUUGUCUAUAUUUUAUAUCUGAUACGCAACAUAUUCUUGAAGUGUCAGAAAUAUUUUGCCAGCAAUAGUUCUUCCCCAUAGUAAAUACUGGAAACCAUACACUAUUGCAUACAUGCAUCUAGUCCAAAUUUUUUACGCUCUUAAAUAUUAAUUUAAGCUGUCCUACCGUAACCCAAAUUCGACGACACCUAAAUUCGACGAUGUUCUAUUUGUAUUGAUUAAAUGGAUGAUUAUUGUCUUGGAAUCAUUUCAAAGUAAUACAUCGGAGUCUAAAAUUAUUAUUUUGUGCUAUUAAACAUUUCAUUAUUUCUUUAAUUAUUUGCUAAAUAUUGCUUCAUGUAAUCGUUACAUUGUCGAAUUUGGGUCACAGUUUGCAAAUAGAUGCCCCUAAUGUUAUUGUAAGCCAAUAAUAAGUUUCAUUAACACCUCGUUGUAGGUAUACCACCUCUAUAAAAACCAAUUUACCGAAACCUCCACGGCAACCUUGGAUCACUUCUCUUUCUUAUAUAUAUAAACCAACUCCCUUCUUCCGUCACUAAAUCCAAGGUUCGCCUUUUUGCAGACGAUACAGCUAUUUACCUCACUGUAAACUCUCUCUCAGGUUGUGCAUCUCUGCAACAAGACCUAGACAAGCUUCAGGAAUGGGAACAAGAGUGGGACAUGGAAUUUAACCCAUCAAAAUGCCAGGUCCUACACAUCACAAGGAACCGCAACGUCAUUGAACACGGUUACUUUCUCCAUGGCCAAGCUCUUGAGUCCGUCUCUGAUGCUAAAUAUCUUGGACUCGAUCUCUCUUCUGACCUCAGCUAUAAUACACACAUUGACAGAAUCACCAACAAUACAAACAAAUCACUAGGCUUCAUUAAAAGGAACAUCACAACACAUAAUUAAAAGGUACGAGAACUCGCAUACAAGUCUCUGGUCUGACUACAAGUUGAAUACGCUUCCACUGUCUGGAGCCCAUAGACCAAAACUGCCAUCAAUAAAGUGGAAAGAGUGCAGAACCGGGCUGCACGCUGGGUGCAGCGAGAUUACUCUCCCUUUUCCAGUGUCUCGGCCAUGGUACAAGAUCUAGGCUGGAGAUCGCUCGCAGAUCGUAGAAAUGACAGCAAACUCAUCAUGUUCUACAAAAUCUAUCACAACCUUGUUGCCAUACCUCUCCCUCAAUAUAUAAAAGCAACAAUCCGCUUCACUAGACACAUGCACCCACUGUAUCUACAAAAGAUACAGACAGGAUCACUCUACCACUAUUACUCCUUUUUCCCACACAGCAUCACACUAUGGGACAAGCUCUCAGCUGAUAUCGCUACCCUAUCCGAUCUUGAAAAGUUCAAGAGGGCAGUGGUAAAUGUGCGGUACUAGUCUGUUAAAUGAUGUUUUUAACCCUCACUUUUAUCUUUCACCUUCACUAGACUCUUUUAACCACUUGACUUCUCUCCAUUCUCCUGGAGAUUUCAAGCUUUUAGUCUCACUACCCAACAAUAUCCUUUGCUGGGUCCUUUUUACCUUUCACACUCACUAAUGUUCCUGACGUGCACCUUUUCCCUGCCUAUAAUACUCGAAAGAGCGGUUUGCAGUAUACAGAGGUAGAUAGAUAGCAUUUACUAUAUAAAUCAAUUUACGGAACUUGUCAUUUACCGAAACCUCCAUAACCCCACUGGGAUACUUUUUAUAUAGACACCAAACGCAAAGCCUAUCCCAAGGCAAUGCCCCAUUUGCGUGGUAAAGAGCAAGACGACUAUGUACCUCCAGGUAGCAGACCACGUUCGCUGGGUGCAAGCACUGACGGCAGACCCCAUGAAGCCGUUAAUGUCCGAGGCACGUGCUAAGACCGGGCGGAAAGUGAAGAAGACAAAGCCGAGGAAUUACUACUCUUGCUGGCUGUGCGACCGGUCGGUGAUUGACCGGCUGCGUCAUCUAGAACAGGAGCACAAAAUGGAGGCUGGGACAUUCAAUUUCGUUUACACAAGAGGGCCGUUUCCGGAAGGUCACAAAAACUUAAGGAAAGGUGACCAGCAGACUCGCCACUCAUGAUGACUCGGCAUAGGAGGAUGAGAAGGUGGAGGAUGAGGAGGAGGAGGAAGAGGACUUUUCGUUCCUAACGCGGAAAUACUGCCUGAGCCUGGAACCCAAUGCAAGGGUGAUGCAUGGUCGGAGAAGCUGCAAGUAACAAUAUGGAUUGCUUAUAUAGUGUAAAGUCUCGAGUCCGUUUACGGGGUAGAACCAGUACUUGGUGCAUUAAGCCCUGUUUUCCCAGAUUUUUUUAAAUUAUAUACAUUUCAAUUGAUAGUCAUUAUUAUUGCAACAUGUAUAUAUCUUAAAAACCGUGAGGAAAUAUAUAUAAGUACAUUAAAAUUUAAGAUAAAUAUUAUUUAUUUAUAAUACUUUGGAAUUACUGGUUGUGAGUUAAUUAUAUGCGAUUUCACCAUCUAGCAUAGAAUAUCAUCCAAUAAUACUUGUUGCAGUUUCAAUCGUUGACUCAUAUGUAGGCUACAUGUUCCUGCUGAGCAGGCCAGGUGGGUUGACAAACGAGUCGAAAACACAAGAGGUCAACAUGAAGAUCAACCGGUUCCUGGCCCUGUCUGGCUACUUGGAAGGAGUGGUGUUGAGUGACGUGCUGUUGUGGAAGGGCCAUAUGGAGGUCCACGACAGUUCCUUAACACCACUCACCAGCUGAAGACGGUGCAGACUGCACUAACGGCAAUCAAGAACUUCCUGAAGUGGUGCGAGGGAACGGUCUAGCGGACGCCCGCGCAUUGAACAAUUCCGAUCUCCUUCUCACAGGCUGCCUGACUUCAACCCGCCUGGAUAUGAGCCGUCGCGAGGUUAUUCGGAGGGUAGAGGACAGUGCCGCCAUCCUGACGGACGCAAACCUGGAGCGCCACUUCACUGAGAGUGAGCAUGUAGUGAAAACGAUCAAGGUGAUCCAGGAGCCCCCAGCUGGCACACCUGAAAGAUAUUCGGGGAAUAAUUAUUAAACUGAUAGCGCUCUAUAACGCCUCCUGAACCGGCAGGUAUACAAACCUGAGGUGGUUCUUGCUUAAGUGUCAUCAGGAUGAUUUGGUCAUUUCAGAGAUGUACCCUUUAUAGCUCAACUUGAGUUAUUGUUGCUGGUCUUUGUCUGUUUUGCGAUGUGUGUCUAUAUGUCAACAUUUUUACUUUAACAAUAUCUCCUACUUAACCUUUGGGCAAAGCUUGAUGAAACUGGCAGGAAUAUUCCUGGCAUGAAGCUCCUUCAAUGUUGCUCCAAGAAUUGUAUUCCAUGAAAUCCUUGUUGCCGUGGAAACCAAAAGGAAAAACUUUAAAAAUCUACUCUGAAACUGCAAGGCCUUGGGCUGAGAUAUUUAGCAUGAAACAUUGUGUGGUGGACCUUUACCCGUGGGCAAGUCGAUUUUUUGUCGAGCCCACUUAUGGAGAACUCGACAUAUUUGUCACAGUUGGCGGUUUGGUGUAUGUGGAUCAGUCCGUCAGUAUGAAAGUCCGGGUUAGGCUUGUCUGGAGCGUAGGAGUACCUAAAGAUUGAGCUGGAGACAGUGAAGGUGCUGACCUCUGUGUGGAACACUUAGCAGCUGGCAAGUUUUCAUAUUGAAGGGCAUGGUUCCCAACCGCCCAUCACACACAGAAUGUAGCUUGUCGUCUUCUGCAGUAAAAACUGGGUGCUGGAAGAUGCUUUCUGCUAUAUUGACUGCUUCCAAGCGCUUCCUGGACCUAAAAAUUAUCUCCCAGCAGCAACCUCCCCAAGGUGUGACGAGAGUCUUCAAGUGUUCCAGACGGCUGGUGAUGCAUUUCAAGAAAAGCCAUCAGAAUCUUGCAAUGAUCUGUAUACUUAAUAAAUGACAAAACAACGA
Dreissena polymorpha is the source of this 4022-nucleotide long non-coding RNA. RefSeq lists it as uncharacterized. Lineage: Eukaryota; Metazoa; Mollusca; Bivalvia; Myida; Dreissenidae. The record is from RefSeq and is a predicted model, not a curated record. The transcript has 8 exons.